This 492-nucleotide ribosomal RNA is filed under the name uncultured bacterium. RNAcentral describes it as "partial 16S ribosomal RNA". It matches the Rfam family "Bacterial small subunit ribosomal RNA", at positions 29 to 507 of the family's 1533-position model. The record is from RNAcentral.
AGUGAAUGCUGGCGGUAGGCCUAACACAUGCAAGUCGAACGGCAGCACAGUAAGAGCUUGCUCUUACGGGUGGCGAGUGGCGGACGGGUGAGGAAUACAUCGGAAUCUACUUUUUCGUGGGGGAUAACGUAGGGAAACUUACGCUAAUACCGCAUACGACCUACGGGUGAAAGCAGGGGAUCUUCGGACCUUGCGCGAUUGAAUGAGCCGAUGUCGGAUUAGCUAGUUGGCGGGGUAAAGGCCCACCAAGGCGACGAUCCGUAGCUGGUCUGAGAGGAUGAUCAGCCACACUGGAACUGAGACACGGUCCAGACUCCUACGGGAGGCAGCAGUAGGGAAUAUUGGACAAUGGGCGCAAGCCUGAUCCAGCCAUACCGCGUGGGUGAAGAAGGCCUUCGGGUUGUAAAGCCCUUUUGUUGGGAAAGAAAAGCAGCAGGUUAAUACCCCGCUGUUCUGACGGUACCCAAAGAAUAAGCACCGGCUAACUUCGUG